RNAcentral lists this ribosomal RNA (273 nucleotides) under uncultured bacterium. RNAcentral's name for it is "partial 16S ribosomal RNA". It matches the Rfam family "Bacterial small subunit ribosomal RNA", at positions 524 to 796 of the family's 1533-position model. The record is from RNAcentral.
UACGUAGGGCGCAAGCGUUGUCCGGAAUUAUUGGGCGUAAAGAGCUCGUAGGCGGUCUGUCGCGUCUGCUGUGAAAACCCGAGGCUCAACCUCGGGCCUGCAGUGGGUACGGGCAGACUAGAGUGCGGUAGGGGAGACUGGAAUUCCUGGUGUAGCGGUGGAAUGCGCAGAUAUCAGGAGGAACACCGAUGGCGAAGGCAGGUCUCUGGGCCGCAACUGACGCUGAGGAGCGAAAGCAUGGGGAGCGAACAGGAUUAGAUACCCGUGUAGUCC